This 406-nucleotide ribosomal RNA is filed under the name uncultured bacterium. RNAcentral's name for it is "partial 16S ribosomal RNA". It matches the Rfam family "Bacterial small subunit ribosomal RNA", at positions 30 to 526 of the family's 1533-position model. The record is from RNAcentral.
AUUGAACGCUGGCGGCCGGCCUAACACAUGCAAGUCGAACGAGUGGCGGACGGGUGAGUAAUGUCUGGGAAACUGCCUGCUGGAGGGGGAUAACUCCUGGAACCGGUAGCUAAUCCCGCAUACCCUCGGAUGUGCCCAGAUGUCUUUAGCUUGUUGGGGGGGUAUAGGGUCACAACGGCGACGAUCCCUAGCGGGUCUGAGAGGAUGACCAGCCACACGGUAACUGAGACACGGUCCAGACUCCUACGGGAGGCAGCAGUGGGGAAUAUUGCACAAUGGGCGAAAGCCUGAUGAAGCCAUGCCGCGUGUAUGAAGAAGGCCUUCGGGUUGUAAAGUACUUUCAGCGGGGAGGCGUUACCCGCAGAAGAAGCACCGGCUAACUCCGUGCCAGCAGCCGCGGUAAUAC